GACGAACGCUGGCGGCGUGCCUAAAACAUGCAAGUCGAACGCGAUGGCCCUUCGGGGCCUGGGAGUGGCGAACGGCGGAGUAAUACGUAAGCAACGUGCCCUGAAGUCUGGGAUAUACCGGGGAAACCCGGGGCAAUACCGGAUGUGGUCACUGUCUGGCAUCAGACGGUGAUUAAACGGUUUUUCGCUUUAGGAGCGGCUUACGGCCUAUCAGCUAGUUGGCGGGGUAACGGCCCACCAAGGCUUCGACGGGUAACNGGUCUGAGAGGACGACCAGUCCGAGUGGGACUGAGACACGGCCCACACACCUACGGGUGGCAGCAGUUGGGAAUCUUGCACAAUGGGGGCAACCCUGAUGCAGCGACGCCGCGUGGAGGACGAAGGAUUUAGGUCUGUAAACUCCUUUUGCCAGGAAAGACUUAGGACGGUACCUGGCGAAUAAGCUCCGGCUAACUACGUGCCAGCAGCCGCCGU
RNAcentral lists this ribosomal RNA (474 nucleotides) under uncultured bacterium. RNAcentral describes it as "bacterial SSU rRNA". It matches the Rfam family "Bacterial small subunit ribosomal RNA", at positions 28 to 521 of the family's 1533-position model. The record is from RNAcentral.